GAUGCCUCAACGCCAGUUGGGGUGGAGUCGUUGUUGAAAUACCACUCUGAUCGUAUUGGACAUCUCAACCUCGGCCCGUGAUCCGGGUUAGGGACAGUGCCUGGUGGGUAGUUUAACUGGGGCGGUUGCCUCCCAAAGAGUAACGGAGGCGCCCAAAGGUUCCCUCAGCCUGGUUGGCAAUCAGGUGUUGAGUGUAAGUGCACAAGGGAGCUUGACUGUGAGACUGACAGGUCGAGCAGGUAGGAAACUAGGGACUAGUGAUCCGGCACCGGCUUGUGGAAGCGGUGUCGCUCAACGGAUAAAAGGUACCCCGGGGAUAACAGGCUGAUCUUCCCCAAGAGUCCAUAUCGACGGGAUGGUUUGGCACCUCGAUGUCGGCUCGUCGCAUCCUGGGGCUGGAGUAGGUCCCAAGGGUUGGGCUGUUCGCCCAUUAAAGCGGCACGCGAGCUGGGUUUAGAACGUCGUGAGACAGUUCGGUCUCUAUCCGCCGCGCGCGUAGAAACUUGAGGAAGGCUGUCCCUAGUACGAGAGGACCGGGAUGGACGUACCUCUGGUGUGCCAGUUGUCCCGCCUGGGGCAUGGCUGGUUGGCUACGUACGGAAGGGAUAACCGCUGAAAGCAUCUAAGCGGGAAGCCUGUUCCAAGAUUAGGUUUCUUUUGAGGUCCCCUAUAGAUGAUGGGGUUGAUAGGCCGGAUCUGGAAGCAUCGUAAGGUGUGGAGGUGACCGGUACUAAUAGACCAAACAUUCAACACACAAAGU
RNAcentral lists this ribosomal RNA (760 nucleotides) under Corynebacterium amycolatum. RNAcentral describes it as "partial 23S ribosomal RNA". It matches the Rfam family "Bacterial large subunit ribosomal RNA", at positions 2159 to 2925 of the family's 2925-position model. Lineage: Bacteria; Bacillati; Actinomycetota; Actinomycetes; Mycobacteriales; Corynebacteriaceae. The record is from RNAcentral.